RNAcentral lists this ribosomal RNA (253 nucleotides) under uncultured bacterium. RNAcentral describes it as "partial 16S ribosomal RNA". It matches the Rfam family "Bacterial small subunit ribosomal RNA", at positions 524 to 776 of the family's 1533-position model. The record is from RNAcentral.
UACGUAGGUGGCAAGCGUUGUCCGGAUUUACUGGGCGUAAAGAGCGCGCAGGCGGUCGUUCAAGUCGCGUGUGAAAGCCCCCGGCUCAACUGGGGAGGGUCACGCGAUACUGAUCGACUCGAAGGCAGGAGAGGGUAGUGGAAUUCCCGGUGUAGCGGUGAAAUGCGUUGAUAUCGGGAGGAAUACCCGUGGCGAAGGCGGUCCACUGGGCAUCAACUGACGCUGAGGCGCGAAAGCGUGGGUAGCAAACAGG